RNAcentral lists this ribosomal RNA (245 nucleotides) under uncultured Sporocytophaga sp. RNAcentral describes it as "partial 16S ribosomal RNA". It matches the Rfam family "Bacterial small subunit ribosomal RNA", at positions 524 to 768 of the family's 1533-position model. Lineage: Bacteria; Pseudomonadati; Bacteroidota; Cytophagia; Cytophagales; Cytophagaceae. The record is from RNAcentral.
UACGGAGGGUGCAAGCGUUGUCCGGAUUUAUUGGGUUUAAAGGGAGCGUAGGUGGCUUUUUAAGUCAGUGGUGAAAUCCUCCAGCUUAACUGGAGACGUGCCAUUGAUACUGAUUAGCUUGAGUACUGAUGAGGUAGGCGGAAUUGAAGGUGUAGCGGUGAAAUGCAUAGAUAUCUUCAAGAACACCGAUUGCGAAGGCAGCUUACUAAGGAGUUACUGACACUGAGGCUCGAAAGCGUGGGGAU